This 1132-nucleotide ribosomal RNA is filed under the name plant metagenome. RNAcentral describes it as "bacterial LSU rRNA". It matches the Rfam family "Bacterial large subunit ribosomal RNA", at positions 1789 to 2925 of the family's 2925-position model. The record is from RNAcentral.
GGUGGCUGCGACUGUUUAUUAAAAACACAGCACUCUGCAAACACGAAAGUGGACGUAUAGGGUGUGACGCCUGCCCGGUGCUGGAAGAUUAAAUGAUGGGGUGCAAGCUCUUGAUUGAAGUCCCAGUAAACGGCGGCCGUAACUAUAACGGUCCUAAGGUAGCGAAAUUCCUUGUCGGGUAAGUUCCGACCUGCACGAAUGGCGUAACGAUGGCCACACUGUCUCCUCCUGAGACUCAGCGAAGUUGAAAUGUUUGUGAUGAUGCAAUCUCCCCGCGGAAAGACGGAAAGACCCCAUGAACCUUUACUGUAGCUUUGUAUUGGACUUUGAACAGAUCUGUGUAGGAUAGGUGGGAGGCUUUGAAGCAGGGUCGCUAGAUCUUGUGGAGCCAACGUUGAAAUACCACCCUGGUGUGUUUGAGGUUCUAACCUAGGUCCAUUAUCUGGAUCGGGGACAGUGCAUGGUAGGCAGUUUGACUGGGGCGGUCUCCUCCCAAAGCGUAACGGAGGAGUUCGAAGGUACGCUAGUUACGGUCGGACAUCGUGACGAUAGUGCAAUGGCAUAAGCGUGCUUAACUGCGAGACUGACAAGUCGAGCAGAUGCGAAAGCAGGACAUAGUGAUCCGGUGGUUCUGUAUGGAAGGGCCAUCGCUCAACGGAUAAAAGGUACUCUGGGGAUAACAGGCUGAUACCGCCCAAGAGUUCAUAUCGACGGCGGUGUUUGGCACCUCGAUGUCGGCUCAUCUCAUCCUGGGGCUGUAGCCGGUCCCAAGGGUAUGGCUGUUCGCCAUUUAAAGAGGUACGUGAGCUGGGUUUAAAACGUCGUGAGACAGUUUGGUCCCUAUCUUCCGUGGGCGCUGCAGAUUUGAGGAAGCCUGCUCCUAGUACGAGAGGACCGGAGUGGACACACCUCUGGUGUAUCGGUUGUCACGCCAGUGGCAUUGCCGAGUAGCUAAGUGUGGAAGAGAUAACCGCUGAAAGCAUCUAAGCGGGAAACUCGUUUCAAGAUGAGAUCUGCCGGGGCCUUGAGCCCCCUGAAGAGUCGUUCAAGACCAGGACGUUGAUAGGUCAGGUGUGGAAGCGCAGUAAUGCGUUAAGCUAACUGAUACUAAUUGCUCGUGCGGCUUGACCCU